CCUACGGGAGGCAGCAGUAGGGAAUUUUCGUCAAUGGGCGCAAGCCUGAACGAGCAAUGCCGCGUGAACGAGGAAGGUCUUCGGAUCGUAAAGUUCUGUUGAAGGGGAAAAAGAGCGGAGAGAGGAAAUGGUCUCCGAUUGAUAUUACCCUUCGAGGAAGUCACGGCUAACUACGUGCCAGCAGCCGCGGUAAUACGGAGGUGGCGAGCGUUAUCCGGAAUGAUUGGGCGUAAAGGGUGCGUAGGCGGCCUGCGAAGUCUGGAGUGAAAGGUACCGGCUCAACCGGUACAGGCUCUGGAAACUGGCGGGCUAGAGAGCAGGAGAGGGCGGUGGAACUCCAUGUGUAGCGGUAAAAUGCGUAGAUAUAUGGAAGAACACCAGUGGCGAAGGCGGCCGCCUGGCCUGUUACUGACGCUGAGGCACGAAAGCGUGGGGAGCAAAUAGGAUUAGAUACCCCAGUAGUC
RNAcentral lists this ribosomal RNA (464 nucleotides) under uncultured bacterium. RNAcentral's name for it is "partial 16S ribosomal RNA". It matches the Rfam family "Bacterial small subunit ribosomal RNA", at positions 338 to 795 of the family's 1533-position model. The record is from RNAcentral.